AGGGUUUGAUUCUGGCUCAGGAUGAACGCUAGCGACAGGCUUAACACAUGCAAGUCGAGGGGCAGCAUAAGGUAGCAAUACUUUGAUGGCGACCGGCGCACGGGUGAGUAACGCGUAUGCAACCUACCUAUCAGAGGGGAAUAACCCGGCGAAAGUCGGACUAAUACCGCAUAAAACAGGGGUUCCGCAUGGAAAUAUUUGUUAAAGAAUUAUCGCUGAUAGAUGGGCAUGCGUUCCAUUAGAUAGUUGGUGAGGUAACGGCUCACCAAGUCUACGAUGGAUAGGGGUUCUGAGAGGAAGGUCCCCCACACUGGUACUGAGACACGGACCAG
This 332-nucleotide ribosomal RNA is filed under the name uncultured bacterium. RNAcentral describes it as "bacterial SSU rRNA". It matches the Rfam family "Bacterial small subunit ribosomal RNA", at positions 8 to 334 of the family's 1533-position model. The record is from RNAcentral.